GGCGAACGGGUGAGUAACGCGUGAGGAACCUGCCUCAAAGAGGGGACGAACAGUUGGAAACGACUGCUAAUACCGCAUAAGCCCACGACCCGGCAUCGGGUAGAGGGAAAAGGAGCAAUCCGCUUUGAGAUGGCCUCGCGUCCGAUUAGCUAGUUGGUGAGGUAAUGGCCCACCAAGGCGACGAUCGGUAGCCGGACUGAGAGGUUGAACGGCCACAUUGGGACUGAGACACGGCCCAG
This 239-nucleotide ribosomal RNA is filed under the name uncultured bacterium. RNAcentral's name for it is "partial 16S ribosomal RNA". It matches the Rfam family "Bacterial small subunit ribosomal RNA", at positions 97 to 334 of the family's 1533-position model. The record is from RNAcentral.